Molecule: long non-coding RNA, 187 nt
Organism: Protopterus annectens (West African lungfish)
Lineage: Eukaryota; Metazoa; Chordata; Ceratodontiformes; Protopteridae
Exons: 3
Source: RefSeq, a predicted model, not a curated record
AGAAACCAGUACCGUGCCCAGUACCAUCAUAACAACAACUACAGAAGACACAACCACUCCAGAAACAGAAACCAGUACCGUGCCCAGUACCAUCAUAACAACAACUACAGAAGACACAACCACUCCAGAAACAGAAACCAGUACCGUGCCCAGUACCAUCAUAACAACAACUACAGAAGACACAACC